Molecule: ribosomal RNA, 255 nt
Filed under: uncultured bacterium
Lineage: Bacteria
Description: partial 16S ribosomal RNA
Rfam family: Bacterial small subunit ribosomal RNA
Source: RNAcentral
CGGACGGGUGAGUAACGCGUGGAAAACCUGCCGUAUACUGGGGGAUAACACUUAGAAAUAGGUGCUAAUACCGCAUAAGCGCACAGCUUCGCAUGAAGCAGUGUGAAAAACUCUGGUGGUAUACGAUGGUUCCGCGUCUGAUUAGCUAGUUGGUGGGGUAAUGGCCUACCAAGGCAACGAUCAGUAGCCGGCCUGAGAGGGUGAACGGCCACAUUGGGACUGAGACACGGCCCAAACUCCUACGGGAGGCAGCAG